CCUACGGGAGGCAGCAGUAAGGGAUAUUGGUCAAUGGGGGAAACCCUGAACCAGCAACGCCGCGUGAGGGAAGACGGUUUUCGGAUUGUAAACCUCUGUCCUCUGUGAAGAUGAUGACGGUAGCAGAGGAAGAAGCCCCGGCUAACUACGUGCCAGCAGCCGCGGUAAUACGCAGGGGGCAAGCGUUAUCCGGAUUUACUGGGUGUAAAGGGGGCGCAGACGGCGAUGCAAGCCAGGAGUGAAAGCCCGGGGCCCAACCCCGGGACUGCUGUUGGAACUGCGUGGCUGGAGUGCAGGAGGGGCAGGCGGAAUUCCUGGUGUAGCGGUGAAAUGCGUAGAUAUCAGGAGGAACACCGGUGGCGAAGGCGGCCUGCUGGACUGCAACUGACGUUGAGGCCCGAAAGCGUGGGGAGCAAACAGGAUUAGAUACCCGGGUAGUC
RNAcentral lists this ribosomal RNA (440 nucleotides) under uncultured bacterium. RNAcentral describes it as "partial 16S ribosomal RNA". It matches the Rfam family "Bacterial small subunit ribosomal RNA", at positions 338 to 795 of the family's 1533-position model. The record is from RNAcentral.